RNAcentral lists this non-coding RNA (25 nucleotides) under Mus musculus (house mouse). Lineage: Eukaryota; Metazoa; Chordata; Mammalia; Rodentia; Muridae. The record is from RNAcentral.
UGCUAGCAUGUCAACCAGGACAUUU